Molecule: transfer RNA, 65 nt
Filed under: Echinococcus canadensis
Lineage: Eukaryota; Metazoa; Platyhelminthes; Cestoda; Cyclophyllidea; Taeniidae
Also listed under: 1 other name
Description: tRNA-Ala
Source: RNAcentral
AACAUUAUAGUUUAUUAAAAAUAUUGAGUUUGCAUCUCAAUGAUAGGUAAGUUGCCUUUAUGUUA